RNAcentral lists this ribosomal RNA (301 nucleotides) under uncultured bacterium. RNAcentral describes it as "partial 16S ribosomal RNA". It matches the Rfam family "Bacterial small subunit ribosomal RNA", at positions 509 to 807 of the family's 1533-position model. The record is from RNAcentral.
CAGUAGCCGCGGUAAUACGUAGGUGGCAAGCGUUGUCCGGAUUUAUUGGGCGUAAGGCGAGCGCAGGCGGUCAAUUAAGUCUGAUGUGAGAGCCCCCGGCUCAACCGGGGAGGGUCAUUGGAAACUGGUUGACUUGAGUGCAGAAGAGGAGAGUGGAAUUCCAUGUGUAGCGGUGAAAUGCGUAGAUAUAUGGAGGAACACCAGUGGCGAAGGCGACUCUCUGGUCUGUAACUGACGCUGAGGCUCGAAAGCGUGGGUAGCAAACAGGAUUAGAGACCCGAGUAGUCCCUGUCUCUUAUAC